GAUGAACGCUGGCGGCGUGCUUAACACAUGCAAGUCGAACGGGAAUUACUUUAUUGAAACUUCGGUCGAUAUGAUUUAAUUCUAGUGGCGGACGGGUGAGUAACGCGUGGGUAACCUGCCUUGUACAGGGGGAUAACAGUCAGAAAUGACUGCUAAUACCGCAUAAGCGCACAGAGCUGCAUGGCUCGGUGUGAAAAACUCCGGUGGUAUAAGAUGGACCCGCGUUGGAUUAGCUAGUUGGUGAGGUAACGGCCCACCAAGGCGACGAUCCAUAGCCGGCCUGAGAGGGUGAACGGCCACAUUGGGACUGAGACACGGCCCAGACUCCUACGGGAGGCAGCAGUGGGGAAUAUUGCACAAUGGGGGAAACCCUGAUGCAGCGACGCCGCGUGAAGGAAGAAGUAUCUCGGUAUGUAAACUUCUAUCAGCAGGGAAGAAAAUGACGGUACCUGACUAAGAAGCCCCGG
RNAcentral lists this ribosomal RNA (467 nucleotides) under uncultured bacterium. RNAcentral's name for it is "bacterial SSU rRNA". It matches the Rfam family "Bacterial small subunit ribosomal RNA", at positions 28 to 496 of the family's 1533-position model. The record is from RNAcentral.